RNAcentral lists this ribosomal RNA (105 nucleotides) under Citrobacter koseri. RNAcentral also lists the same sequence under 3 other names. Lineage: Bacteria; Pseudomonadati; Pseudomonadota; Gammaproteobacteria; Enterobacterales; Enterobacteriaceae. The record is from RNAcentral.
CAGCGCGGUGGUCCCACCUGACCCCAUGCCGAACUCAGAAGUGAAACGCCGUAGCGCCGAUGGUAGUGUGGGGUCUCCCCAUGCGAGAGUAGGGAACUGCCAGGC